AGUUAAGGAGGCGCUGUCCUGGCGUCGGAUGGGGACGGGGAACGCGGCGAGGGCGCUGCGACCUCUGCCCACCUGGCCCGGCCGCAGUCUCGGAGUUCCUGUUCCUCACAGGAGCUAAUUAUUUAUGACAGCUGCAUGGUUCCCCUCCCCCAGUUACUCAGUGCUUGGCACUCGGCACCCCUUACUCAGCACUCAGUACCGCACUCGGCCUCAGGGGACCUGGGCAGAGGGAAGCAGGGAGUCUCCCGCGGAAACUCUUGCUCUGCCAAAGUGUGAUGUGAUCUGACUGCUGCUCAGGGCCUGGACAGCAAAUGAGGAAGACUUAUUGCAGAAAUUCAGAGCCUAGUGACCUGGACCAGGGUGGAGGCAGCAGAGGAGAGAAACAGAUGAUCAAGACUCUGCUAGCAGGAGAAAAAGAGAGAAAAGAGAGAUGAAAAAGUCUUGUGUGACCAGAAGCUUAUCAACCUUGUGUGCUGUUGGCUUACUUUAACAUUUACAGCAGAUGAUAGAAUUGUGUUCAGAUGACACAAUAAGGUAUCAAAUGACUUCACGAAAGCAAGACGGCACUGAACCCCAAGUUUGUGCCUUCAGUCUCUCGCCUCGGCACCUAGGUAAUCCUUUGCCCACAGGACCACACCACCCUCCCCCAGUGAGAGGAACCAGAGUGACGGGAAAGGGAAGCCCCACACAACCAGCACUCGAGGCCCGGCCCACUGGGAGCACUGGGUGGCCUGGCCUGGGAAAGCCCCUUGUGCCCCUUGGGUGGCACCAGCAGGUACCCGUGGGAGCUCCAGCAGCACCAGACAAACCAAGCAGACCCAAGAUAGCACCAUGAAGGCUCUGAACAUCAAAUUGUCACUGGAAGCAUGGCCUGCAGAAGCGGGCCACAAUCCUCACACUAAACCUAAGCAGAGCGACUGGCUGCAAAAAGGAAAGACUUAAAAAAUAGGAUCCAGAGACCUUCCUCUUCCUCAUGAGUUUUCCAAAUCACACUUGAUUGAAACAAAAACGUUAGCACCAUCUGAGACUCAGGACAGUGAUAUUUAUGAGCGGGGAGGGUAAAGGAAGCUCCAUGCUAUAAGUUCCGCACCUCGCUUGAAGUAGGAAAAGGCCACGGCACGCAGGACUCACUGAGUGGCUACCAAAAGAAACCAACGCUGAGCUAUAGCAUGGCAAGCUAAUACUACAUUUUGGAAAAGCACGCAUAUUGAAAUUUGCGUCAUUUGUGCUAUUAUUUGUGCUAUUAUAAAGACCUGACGCCUGGUGGAACCGUGCUUACAAUGUGUGGGUACUUAAACGCGUGUUCUGAAAAACUCCUCUGCUGCUUCUUCCUCUGAUUUCACAUUCGGUAAACCUGCAAGUGCACACAUUUCAUCCCCUUGCAAGACUGUUGUCAGUGCUCAGUAAGUCUACAUUUUACAUAGGAUGAGGUGAUUACAAAGAUGGCACCAUGGAUAAACGACACUACCUGUGUUAGCAGUUGUGACUUUUCCUUCUUUUUUUUUUCUUUUUCUUUUCUUUUCUUUUUCUUUCUUUUUUUUUCUUUCUUUUUUUUUUUGAGAUGGAGUCUCACUCUGUUGUCCAGACUGAAGUACAAUGGCAUGAUCUCAGCUCACUGCAACCUCUCCCUCCUGGGUUCAAGCAAUUCUCCUGCCUCAGCUUCCUGAGUAGCUGGAAUUGCAGGUGCCUGCCACCAUGCCUGGCUAAUUUUCUAUAUUUAGUAGAGACAGGAUUGCGCCAUGUUGGCCAGGCUGGUCUUGAACUCCUGACCUCAGGUGAUCCGCCUGCCUUGGCCUCCUGAAGUGCUGGGAUUACAGGCAUGAGCCACCGUGCCCGGCCAUGACUUUUCAGAUGUUAUCUAAUAAGCCACUAUUCUAAGGGGCAGGCACACAUCCACAUUCGAGUGCCGCCUCUGUUGUCUGCUCUUUAACCAUGUGCUGCCAUCUAAAGAAUGAAUGGAUUCUGCUAAAUUGGCACCAAGAAGUGAAGAUACUGCAGAAAGUGGGAGACUAGAAAAACAGGCCAGGGUCACUAACCAGAAAUGGAGACCAGAGCAGCAGCCCUCCAAAUGGCAGUGUGCUUAAUCAACGCAUAAAUGCUCUAGAUGAACAUUCCAUGACAAAGUAACAUUUAAC
This 2135-nucleotide long non-coding RNA is filed under the name Homo sapiens (human). RNAcentral's name for it is "non-protein coding lnc-NOM1-6:8". The record is from RNAcentral. Lineage: Eukaryota; Metazoa; Chordata; Mammalia; Primates; Hominidae.